AGUGAACGCUGGCGGUAGGCCUAACACAUGCAAGUCGAACGGCAGCACAGUAAGAGCUUGCUCUUACGGGUGGCGAGUGGCGGACGGGUGAGGAAUACAUCGGAAUCUACUUUUUCGUGGGGGAUAACGUAGGGAAACUUACGCUAAUACCGCAUACGACCUACGGGUGAAAGCAGUGGAUCUUCGGACCUUGCGCGAUUGAAUGAGCCGAUGUCGGAUUAGCUAGUUGGCGGGGUAAAGGCCCACCAAGGCGACGAUCCGUAGCUGGUCUGAGAGGAUGAUCAGCCACACUGGAACUGAGACACGGUCCAGACUCCUACGGGAGGCAGCAGUGGGGAAUGUUGGACAAUGGGCGCAAGCCUGAUCCAGCCAUACCGCGUGGGUGAAGAAGGCCUUCGGGUUGUAAAGCCCUUUUGUUGGGAAAGAAAAGCAGCAGGUUAAUACCCCGCUGUUCUGACGGUACCCAAAGAAUAAGCACCGGCUAACUUCGUG
This 492-nucleotide ribosomal RNA is filed under the name uncultured bacterium. RNAcentral describes it as "partial 16S ribosomal RNA". It matches the Rfam family "Bacterial small subunit ribosomal RNA", at positions 29 to 507 of the family's 1533-position model. The record is from RNAcentral.